AGAUAAUGAUUGUAAAGAGUAGAUUUUAUAUGAAAUUCAAAUAUAAAGUUUAAAAGUAUUGGCGGUGUUAAAUUUUAUUCUGAGAAACUUGUUUAAUUAAAAUGAUAUUACACAAUUUAUCUUAUCAUGUUUUUUGGUUUAUGUAUUGCUGUUUAAUUAAUGAGUUAAUAAAAUAAAAAAAUUAGUAUAAAUAUUUUUAAAGUAAGAAGUUCAAGUCAAGAUGUAGUUUUAAUAUGGUUUAAAUGAGUUGCUUUUUAUUAGAGAAGUAGAAUUAAAAUAAUUAUUGAAAAUUUUUUAUGGUAUUUGGAUUAGGGAGUAAAAAGGAAGUAGUUAGUUCUUUUGAUAAUUUAUAUUAACAUGU
This 361-nucleotide ribosomal RNA is filed under the name Heteroschizomus silvino. RNAcentral's name for it is "partial small subunit ribosomal RNA". Lineage: Eukaryota; Metazoa; Arthropoda; Arachnida; Schizomida; Hubbardiidae. The record is from RNAcentral.